Long non-coding RNA from Herpailurus yagouaroundi (jaguarundi), 711 nucleotides. RefSeq lists it as uncharacterized. The transcript has 4 exons. NCBI's taxonomy places the organism in Eukaryota, Metazoa, Chordata, Mammalia, Carnivora, Felidae. The record is from RefSeq and is a predicted model, not a curated record.
UUCAGCCAGCUCUUCUUAGGGCUGCACAGGACGCCCUCCUGCAUUUUGAUGAUGCUCCCACCGGCUCAGGAUAAGGCCCACAGGAGGCAGCAAUACAGGCUGAAGAAACAGGCAGUGCCCUCAGAGAUCCCCAUCUGCCUCGUGGGAGGCGCAGACAUGACGUGCCAUCCUGAAGACAACAGCCUAGUGGACGUCACCCCCUGGCGACCUUUCAAAGCAGUAUCUUCCCAUUCUGCCCGGUCCUGCUCGGGGGCUGGAUCCAGAGUUGAAGGAGAGCCCAAGCCCUCUGGAGAAGCACACGCAGAAAUCACGGUGACAACCUGUCCCUUCAGUCUGCAGGUGCAGAGUCGGGGCACCUGGGCUCAGACUCCAGUUCUGCCACCUACCACCGAUCUGAACCUCCCUGCAUCUCUGUUCCCUCAUCUGUAAAACCGGGAGAAGACACCCACCCCUUCUGGCCAUUGAAGGGAUUCAAUGAGUUAACCCACAUAAAGGGCUUAAGAGGUGUAGGCGGGACCCUGGAAGCCUUCCAGGAUUGGAUUCCUUCAAGGAACUUCUUUCUUCUACCUUUCUCUGAUGUGAAGGCCCAAGACCAUCGCCAUCCCCUUGCCCUGCUUCCUAUCUUACACAGGAGGAAACAGGCCCAGGGAGGAGAGAGAGGUCAGGAGGGGAUAGGCGUUCUGGAAGGGCCAAGGGCUCCGUGAGGGUGGA